Molecule: long non-coding RNA, 345 nt
Organism: Salvia miltiorrhiza (redroot sage)
Lineage: Eukaryota; Viridiplantae; Streptophyta; Magnoliopsida; Lamiales; Lamiaceae
Exons: 2
Source: RefSeq, a predicted model, not a curated record
UAGUAAAUUAUUAGUAAUAAUAGACAAAGAGUUUAUUUACGAAUUCAUCUUCAUGUGCAUUCAUUGUUUAAGCAUAUUUUAAUUAUGAUUUCAUUAUUCAUUUUAGGAACGGCGCGCAAGACUUAAUUAUUUAAUUGCAAGUUUUGCUCAAGAAAUGUUAAGGAGAUGACUCGGGCGAUGAGAGGCGGGGCGAGUGAUGGUCAAGAUAAAGAAGAAAUAAUAUUUUAUUUUCAAUUAGAAUAAAGACUCAAUUUAUGAUGUUUAAUCACAUUUCUCAGUUGGAUUUGAAUUUUAGUUAUUUAAGUAUUAAAAUCUUAUUUAUGUUAUUCAAAGUGCAUUUUAUUA